This 1528-nucleotide ribosomal RNA is filed under the name Shigella sonnei. RNAcentral's name for it is "partial 23S ribosomal RNA". It matches the Rfam family "Bacterial large subunit ribosomal RNA", at positions 1429 to 2925 of the family's 2925-position model. The record is from RNAcentral. Lineage: Bacteria; Pseudomonadati; Pseudomonadota; Gammaproteobacteria; Enterobacterales; Enterobacteriaceae.
GUUAAUAUUCCUGUACUUGGUGUUACUGCGAAGGGGGGACGGAGAAGGCUAUGUUGGCCGGGCGACGGUUGUCCCGGUUUAAGCGUGUAGGCUGGUUUUCCAGGCAAAUCCGGAAAAUCAAGGCUGAGGCGUGAUGACGAGGCACUACGGUGCUGAAGCAACAAAUGCCCUGCUUCCAGGAAAAGCCUCUAAGCAUCAGGUAACAUCAAAUCGUACCCCAAACCGACACAGGUGGUCAGGUAGAGAAUACCAAGGCGCUUGAGAGAACUCGGGUGAAGGAACUAGGCAAAAUGGUGCCGUAACUUCGGGAGAAGGCACGCUGAUAUGUAGGUGAAGUCCCUUGCGGAUGGAGCUGAAAUCAGUCGAAGAUACCAGCUGGCUGCAACUGUUUAUUAAAAACACAGCACUGUGCAAACACGAAAGUGGACGUAUACGGUGUGACGCCUGCCCGGUGCCGGAAGGUUAAUUGAUGGGGUCAGCGCAAGCGAAGCUCUUGAUCGAAGCCCCGGUAAACGGCGGCCGUAACUAUAACGGUCCUAAGGUAGCGAAAUUCCUUGUCGGGUAAGUUCCGACCUGCACGAAUGGCGUAAUGAUGGCCAGGCUGUCUCCACCCGAGACUCAGUGAAAUUGAACUCGCUGUGAAGAUGCAGUGUACCCGCGGCAAGACGGAAAGACCCCGUGAACCUUUACUAUAGCUUGACACUGAACAUUGAGCCUUGAUGUGUAGGAUAGGUGGGAGGCUUUGAAGUGUGGACGCCAGUCUGCAUGGAGCCGGCCUUGAAAUACCACCCUUUAAUGUUUGAUGUUCUAACGUGGACCCGUGAUCCGGGUUGCGGACAGUGUCUGGUGGGUAGUUUGACUGGGGCGGUCUCCUCCUAAAGAGUAACGGAGGAGCACGAAGGUUGGCUAAUCCUGGUCGGACAUCAGGAGGUUAGUGCAAUGGCAUAAGCCAGCUUGACUGCGAGCGUGACGGCGCGAGCAGGUGCGAAAGCAGGUCAUAGUGAUCCGGUGGUUCUGAAUGGAAGGGCCAUCGCUCAACGGAUAAAAGGUACUCCGGGGAUAACAGGCUGAUACCGCCCAAGAGUUCAUAUCGACGGCGGUGUUUGGCACCUCGAUGUCGGCUCAUCACAUCCUGGGGCUGAAGUAGGUCCCAAGGGUAUGGCUGUUCGCCAUUUAAAGUGGUACGCGAGCUGGGUUUAGAACGUCGUGAGACAGUUCGGUCCCUAUCUGCCGUGGGCGCUGGAGAACUGAGGGGGGCUGCUCCUAGUACGAGAGGACCGGAGUGGACGCAUCACUGGUGUUCGGGUUGUCAUGCCAAUGGCACUGCCCGGUAGCUAAAUGCGGAAGAGAUAAGUGCUGAAAGCAUCUAAGCACGAAACUUGCCCCGAGAUGAGUUCUCCCUGACCCUUUAAGGGUCCUGAAGGAACGUUGAAGACGACGACGUUGAUAGGCCGGGUGUGUAAGCGCAGCGAUGCGUUGAGCUAACCGGUACUAAUGAACCGUGAGGCUUAACCUUACAACGCCGAAG